CAUUUCCUAGGAUGCCCUGCGGUGCGACCAGACUCACUUCCCCCUUAGGCGGAGAGAAGAAUAUAGGGAAGCUUGGUUAAUAACAGAGUUAAAGGGAAUGGGUGUCGGAGGCAGAGGUUCUGAAGUUCACGACUCCUAGAAGGGGAGGGGAAUGAAAGGCUCUCAGUGAAGAAGGACUUCUCAGAGCCUUUCUAUCCUGAUGACAACAUGACUCUUUCCAGAGAGCAGCAGUGAUAGCUCUGGAAUGUCUAGGGAGAGGAAGGGCUUAGUGACCAGAGUCUGCUGACAGCACAAGAUCCUAGGUCCAGAACCCUGCAGAUCAACUUACCAAUAAGUUCAAUAUGUAAAACAGUUAAAUUUGGUUCAAAUGUGGAAGGAUGAGAGUUAUUGCAACCUGGCAACGCUCCCUACCCCCAUUCCCACCCUCCCUACAGGGGAGGCUCCAGGGAGUACUUUGAAAACCAUUGGAAAAAUUCUGCUCAUAAAUGACUUGAAAUGCCAUGUCUGUAGUAUGCUAUGUUAAAUUUUUUUACCCAUUCCAAUUAUUUUUCUAUUUUUCUGCCAAUCUCAUACUUUAAGUUAAUUUAGAGGCUAAGAGCUUUGUAAUAUAACAAAGGAAGAAAUUGAAAUGUCUAAUAAAUAAGUAAAAUAACAACAUGUUAUU
Molecule: long non-coding RNA, 664 nt
Organism: Eubalaena glacialis (North Atlantic right whale)
Lineage: Eukaryota; Metazoa; Chordata; Mammalia; Artiodactyla; Balaenidae
Exons: 3
Source: RefSeq, a predicted model, not a curated record